This is a long non-coding RNA of Tyto alba (common barn owl), 5458 nucleotides long. RefSeq lists it as uncharacterized. Lineage: Eukaryota; Metazoa; Chordata; Aves; Strigiformes; Tytonidae. The transcript is spliced from 5 exons. The record is from RefSeq and is a predicted model, not a curated record.
AGCUGCCAACAUUUGAUUUGACUACUGCUGAGCGUUAAGCCGAUCUUCUCGGACAUCUAUCAACAAUCACCCCCAAUUUUCUUUACUCCUGAGAGGAGAUGAAUCAGAGCCAAGCCACCAAUACCAAAUUAACCAAAUAAACUGGAGGGUUUUUACUAGAUUUUCCCGCACGUCAUUGCUGUCACAAAGGACUGAAACUGUGAUCUGGGAAAAUCCAGGUCUCAAAGUUGCUAAUUCAUGCGGUCUUUGGAACGUGAUGCUGUUAAAAUCCUCAGCUCAUGGGAUCAAGACAUUUGAGGAAGAAAUGCAACAAGGAGAAAGUUAAGAAAAUUUUCAUCAACUGUGCAGUUGAAGAAAAGUAUGAAAAUUUCCUAAAAAGCAUUGUCCAUGAGUUUGGAUGCUGCCCUUCUUGUCCUGAGACAUAGAAGCUCGUCUUCCUGACAGCUGCAGUUGAGCUGACUUACAUAAGUCAACCGACCCGUCAUUGCUCAUCGCUCUCCUUCCCAAAUCGAGCGUUGGCAGAUGAGACCGGCAGAAGAAGAGCUAAAAGCCCUCCCAGACUCCAGGCGCAGGCACUUAUCGAAGCCGCAUCUUGUCAGGGCCAUCCGGUAGCAAAAUCAGACUUCUCCCCCAGUUUGUGGGGUGUUUCAUCCUGCAGAGCUUGUCAGUGCUGUGCGGUUGGCCGUUGGCAGUGAGGAGCCUCUUCUGUGGGAUGUGGUGUCCAUCUAAAAUGGAGGCAACGUCCUGCAAACUGAUUGCCUUCAACCCCUUGUUCUUGUGCAACGCUUGAAGGCCUGCUGUAUCAGUGCAUGUGUGGAGAAUAUUUACCUAAAAUCCUGGCCUUAACAAAAGCCAGCUGGAUUGGGGAGAGUUUCCCUUAUUUUUCCCAAUUUUGACUCAGAGGCAACAAACGAUAUUGGUGACUUCAACAACAGUAAGGCCUUGAGGACCACCGAGAAAAUCUGGCCGCAUCCCCACUCCUGAACUCUCAAAGCCCCAGGAGAAGAGUCGCUUUAUCUCAGCUUUCUCCUAGAAAUCAUCCACAGCCCGUGCUAACUCCUCACCCAUGCCUGGGAGUUAUCUGGAGACGUGCAACUUGACCCACGGCAAAAUUACGCCGAGGACUGUGCUAAGAGCGCGAGUGAGUCCAUCAGUUUGAAGUUAAUCACGUCUCAACGGGACUUUUCGCUUACUUCACACUCUGUGAGCAAUUAAUUACCUUCUUGAAGCGAGGCUUGCAAAACCACUUCUUGCGGGGUAGGAGGGCUUUCGUGGCGACCGCGCAAAACGGUUCAUCUCCCCGCAGCGACUUCUGGCAAGCCGCGAACUGCGAGAGGAAGCCGUUGGCUGAGCGUUGUCUCCUGCGAGCAGCCAACUGCCAGGGUUCAGGGCAGCUGCCUUGCUCGUCUCUAUUUUGCAGAGCAUAAUUUCUUCCAACUUACAGGAAAAGCUUGAAUUGGGCUGUCGGGAGGAGGUGACAUUCUUGCCCGCCGUGGUGAGCGGGAGUCAGCAGGCUGGUGCAGCCUCUGCUUGGGAGCAGAUUACAUGACCUUCCCAGGCUCGAUGCUCUCAACAAGCUGGAGGGGGAAAAGCCUCCCGAAUUUACAAGCAGCUACAAACCCUAGUCAGAUCCAGAGCCACCACGCGAGCCAGUUAUUGCAACGUGCCUGUUCCAGUCACCGACACGAAAGCUGGUAGUCUGAUCCUAACGCUCUUUUAAUGCGGUUUUGCCAAUUCUCCCAUGCGGAAGCGUCCUGGACGCUGAGCAGGACGUUGGGAGGGGCUUAAAAAGAUUAUCCGCAAAGCCGCGUAUGGCGAAGAGAAACGUGACGUCGGGAAAGCUUUCCGCAGCGCAGUUAUUCGCAGCGUCUCGCAGGAGCAGGGGGACCCGGGGAAGCUCCGCGGAGGCGGUGGGGUUUGGCACGUCAGCAUCCACGGAGGAAGCUCUGAUCCUACGCACGUCCUGCAGCUCUCGGCGCCUGCUGUGUCGUUUCUGAGUUGCAGCGAAGACGGUGAUACGCGACCGUGAUUCCCGGUUAUUCAAGUCAGCCGUUUGCAAUUUUGCUUCCAUCCAAACACCCUCCAGGCUCUAUUCCACAUUGUAAACAAAGCAGCCUGCAACAUUUAAUGCAGAAGGCAGAAACUGGUGCCCCGGACUCUCGCUCCAUGCUGCACUUCUGCUUUUUGUCUGUAGGGAAUGCUUUUCAGCGGCGCUCUCUCAGAUGAAACAAACUGCAAGGACACUGCUCUUCCCUUGGGGACCACAUGGUUUCAGAAAUCUCCAGGUCUCUACAAAGUACUCAGUCAAGCGCACAGGGCAUGGGCUCUUUCUUGCGUCUGGUUUAUUCUGGAAGCUGAGUAAAACCAAGUUGGUGAGAUAUGGAGCUCCUAGGAAAAAGGCCGGGGCGCUCACGCUACGGAGUCUGACUCUUCACCGUGGCUCAGACCACCGCGCACAAACUGGAGCUUCUCCACUGCAGCUCAGUGGGUGGUUUUGGGGAAAACUCUCUUGCUUGGAGAACGUGAUGAAGACAGAAGUGUGGAGGAGCUUCUCUGGAAAAAAAAAAAGCUGUAUCAGUCUGAUAUAAGGGGGAAACUGUAAUCUGCACAAACUAGCUGGUGAGGAGGAAGGAGACCAAGGAGGAGUGUGACAGGGGUCUGUAAGAUGGCGAGUGGCUCGGAAACAGUGAAUUUUCUUUUACUAAACGGGAUAAUGAGUGAAGCUGGUUUACAAGUUCAAAACCACGUGGAGCCUUUCAUCUCAGUCCCCUGUGGAGCUGAGAGGUUCCUUGCCGCCGGAUGCUCUGGGUGCUAAAGGUUCGCACGGCUCCAGAAACUCGCAGGACAGACAGAUGGAAGAAAGGUCCACCAAGGGCUCUGAAAUAGAAAGACGUCACCUCUAGCUCCCAAAGUUACCGACCUGUGGGUUGCUGAAGGCUUCAAGACCCUUCAUGGGGGAUGUCAGCAAAGGCUUGUUCUGUCCUGGAUCUCCUCCCAUCCAAAAGGUCCCAGGGCUGGGAGCACCCUACGGAGAUCUUCCAUCUGAGCUAGGGGAGAGGGGCUGGAGGCCUCUGGCUGGACACACACACGGCACGGGCAGGAUUUGUCCUCUCCUGGGGCUUGCUGACAGCAGAUGAGAUCUCGGUGCUGCUCCCCGAGCAGGUUUCUAGGAUCACUGACUUUUUUUUUUUUGGGCCUGCCCGUGUCGAUCUCAACCUGCCCUUCCCCGCAGCCCCAAGCUUCUCACCCAGCCAAGCCUCCUUCUUUCACUCUGCUUCAUUUAAAAUAGAAAAUUAAUAAUUAACUGGCCUGUCCUUUGAGCGGCGGGUAAAGGAACCCCCUAACACCUGCCUGACAGGUUGCCUGUCGCUGUUUGUUUUUCCAGCGAGCUGCUCCCCGCGAACAGGAUGCCGGCGUUUCGGGAUGGCCUCCUGAUCACCCCAGGGCUUUCCGCCACCAGCCAGUGCCACCUCUCUUUGCAACCAGCCUGUCCUACUGCAACGCGCCUCCCGGCCACGAUAUUUGUGAAAUAUUGUGAAUAUUUCAGAACCUGCCUGCUUUUUUGCAUCUGCAGGGUCUUCCCUCCGCGCCCGGGUGUGGCAGUGGGUCACCGACCCCCUGCAGCAUCUCGUCACCUUCUUGGACGUCCAUCCUCUUGUACCCAUCUUGCAGCACACGUCAACGUGCUCCAGCUGCUGGAGGUGGCAAUUUCGCCCUAAUCUGGGAAUUCUAGGAUGCAGAAAGAUGAUGCUUUGCUUGGCCAGAGAGAGAAGGUUGACCUCCUCCUUUUCCAGUGGAGAAGGAAAAUCCUGAGUUAUUUCCCAUCCUCAUUCAACUAUGGACCAGGAACAUCACCACCCCCUUCUCUGGGGCUUGAAGGACAACUCCAACAGUGUCCAGAGAAGCAAAGACUCCUCUUUUAGAUAGAACUGAAUAAUUCUGUUGAAACUGGAUGAAAGGAAGCCUCUGUCAAAGACUCACCCUUCUGAUUGAUGGGCGAGCUUGGAAAUGUUCCAACCCCACUCCUUUAUUUUUAUGACACCUGUAAAGACGUCGUUAGUGUUAAAUCUCCAUCCCAGUGCAAAUCAACCGAUGGGUUAAUAUUUAUUAAGGAACAGGGAAUGUGCCAACACACCCCUCCUGAGAUAGCCGGGGCAAGCCAGCCUCGAAUCAAAAUCUUCAGUCUUUUCAAACUUUCAUGUGUCACCCUCCUAAAAAUUUAGUGUUUUCCCUUUAUGCUGCUAAAAUUACUUGCAGCAACGCAGGCGCAAGGGGAUUGGAGCCAGGCCCAGCCCAACACCAGGGCAGCACCCAGGGGCUUUUAUGCAUCCUCUUGGCCCUCCUUUGUUUUUUUUUUUUUUGGUUUUGUUUUUUUUUUUGCUGUGUUUCCCAUGGAUUUCCACCAGCAGCACCAGACUUCAUCUCUUUUAGGGGCAUUUCAAGCAAUUCCAGCCCACACACACCCCUCACGGGACAGUGAGCUGUCACCUCUCUCCUUUCUGGCUGCGCCGGGAUGCAGCAGGACGGGUGCUGCAGGUGACAGCACAGCUGUGAGAAGCAAAACCUGCUGGGGAAGACACUUGUUGUUUUGUUGUUUUUUUGUUUUUUUGUUUUUUUUUUCCCUCUAAUCUCUAUUUUUGAUGUUUCUAUCCAGGGUUGCAGGUGGUGUGAAGCGGGACACGGCCACGCGCCUGCCCCGCUGCUUCCCACGGACACGCUGCUCCAGCUCGGCGGGGGAUGCUACCGGCAGCACCUAUGGAUAGGAAGGCAGGUGAACGUAUAGGAAGGUAGAUGAGCAUGCAGGAAGGUGGAUGAGUGUAUAAGGCAGGCAGGUGAGUGUAUAGGAGGUCGGAUGAAUGUCUAGGAAGGCAGAAGAGCAUAUGGGAAGGCAGAUGAGUGUGUAGGAAGGUGGAUGAGUGUAUAGGAAAGCGGGUGAAUGUAUAGGAGGUCAGAUGAAUGUCUAGGAAGGCAGACAAGCAUAUAGAAAGGCAGCUGAGCAUAUGGAGAGGCAGAUGAGUGUAUAGGAAGGCAGGCUGAGCAUAUAGGAAGAGAUAUGAGCAUAUAGGAAGGCAGGUGAGUGUGUAGGAAGGUGGAUGAGUGUAUAGGAAGGCAGGUGAGUGUAUAGGAAGGUGAAUGGGCAUAUCCGAAGGCAGGUAAACAUAUAGGAAGGCAGAUGAGUGUGUAGGGAGGCAGAUAGGCAUAUAGGAAGGCAGGUGAGCAUACAGGAAAGUUGAUGAGCAUAUAGGAAGGCAGGUGAGCAUAUAGGAAGGUAGAUGAGUGUGUAGAAAGAUGGAUGAGUGUAUAAGGCAGGCAGGUGAGUGCAUAGGAGGUCAGAUGAAUGUCUAGGAAGGCAGAAGAGCAUAUGGAGAGGCAGGUGAGUGUAUAGGAAGGCAGAUGAAUGUGUAGGAAGGUGGAUGAGUGUAUAGGAAGGCAGGUGAAUGUAUAGGUCAGAUGAAUG